GUGCACGCUGGCGGCCGGCCUAACACAUGCAAGUCGAGCGGCAGCGCGGGGGCAACCCUGGCGGCGAGCGGCGGACGGGUGAGGAAUUCGUCGGAAUCUGCCUUUUUGUGGGGGAUAACGUAGGGAAACUUACGCUAAUACCGCAUACGUCCUACGGGAGAAAGUGGGGGACCGCAAGGCCUCACGCAGAAAGAUGAGCCGACGACCGAUUAGCUAGUUGGUGGGGUAAAGGCCCACCAAGGCGACGAUCGGUAGCUGGUCUGAGAGGAUGAUCAGCCACACUGGGACUGAGACACGGCCCAGACUCCUACGGGAGGCAGCAGUGGGGAAUAUUGGACAAUGGGCGCAAGCCUGAUCCAGCCAUGCCGCGUGUGUGAAGAAGGCCUUCGGGUUGUAAAGCACUUUUGUCCGGAAAGAAAUCCCUGGAGCUAAUACCUUCGGGGGAUGACGGUACCGGAAGAAUAAGCACCGGCUAACUUCGUG
This 483-nucleotide ribosomal RNA is filed under the name uncultured bacterium. RNAcentral's name for it is "partial 16S ribosomal RNA". It matches the Rfam family "Bacterial small subunit ribosomal RNA", at positions 29 to 507 of the family's 1533-position model. The record is from RNAcentral.